Molecule: small nucleolar RNA, 131 nt
Organism: Sorex araneus (European shrew)
Lineage: Eukaryota; Metazoa; Chordata; Mammalia; Eulipotyphla; Soricidae
Source: Ensembl
CUAGCACUUUCACAGGUCCCGCCCCCCACAGUGGGGCCAGGAUUUGGUAGCUGGUGCUGAGAGAAAACCCCCUUGAGUGUGUCCUUGCCCUGGCACCGUGCCAUCGGCAGCUGUCACUCGGUGGGACAGAG